GACGAACGCUGGCGGCGUGCUUAACACAUGCAAGUCGAGCGAUGAAGCACCUUCGGGUGUGAAUUAGCGGCGAACGGGUGAGGAACACGUGAGAAAUCUGCCUUCAACUCUGGGAUAACACCGGGAAACCGGUGCUAAUACCGGAUAUGAGCCUUGAUCGCAUGAUCGGGGCUGGAAAGUUUUUCGGUUGAAGAUGAUCUCGCGGCCUAUCAGCUUGUUGGUGAGGUAAUGGCUCACCAAGGCGACGACGGGUAGCCGGCCUGAGAGGGCGACCGGCCACACUGGGACUGAGACACGGCCCAGACUCCUACGGGAGGCAGCAGUGGGGAAUAUUGGGCAAUGGAGGAAACUCUGACCCAGCGACGCCGCGUGAGGGAUGAAGGCCUUCGGGUGUAACCUCUUCAGUAGGAAGAAGCGAAGUGACGGUACCUACAGAAGAAGCACCGGCUAA
This 451-nucleotide ribosomal RNA is filed under the name uncultured bacterium. Its description in RNAcentral is "bacterial SSU rRNA". It matches the Rfam family "Bacterial small subunit ribosomal RNA", at positions 28 to 500 of the family's 1533-position model. The record is from RNAcentral.